GACGAACGCUGGCGGCGUGCCUAAUACAUGCAAGUAGAACGCACAGUUUAUACCGUAGCUUGCUACACCAUAAACUGUGAGUUGCGAACGGGUGAGUAACGCGUAGGUAACCUGCCUGGUAGCGGGGGAUAACUAUUGGAAACGAUAGCUAAUACCGCAUAAUAUUGAUUAUUGCAUGAUAAUUGAUUGAAAGAUGCUAUUGCAUCACUACCAGAUGGACCUGCGUUGUAUUAGCUAGUAGGUGAGGUAACGGCUCACCUAGGCGACGAUACAUAGCCGACCUGAGAGGGUGAUCGGCCACACUGGGACUGAGACACGGCCCAGACUCCUACGGGAGGCAGCAGUAGGGAAUCUUCGGCAAUGGACGAAAGUCUGACCGAGCAACGCCGCGUGAGUGAAGAAGGUUUUCGGAUCGUAAAGCUCUGUUGUAAGAGAAGAACGGGUGUGAGAGUGGAAAGUUCACACUGUGACGGUAUCUUACCAGAAAGGGACGGCUAACUACGUGCCAGCAGCCGCGGUAAUACGUAGGUCCCGAGCGUUGUCCGGAUUUAUUGGGCGUAAAGCGAGCGCAGGCGGUUAGAUAAGUCUGAAGUUAAAGGCUGUGGCUUAACCAUAGUACGCUUUGGAAACUGUUUAACUUGAGUGCAGAAGGGGAGAGUGGAAUUCCAUGUGUAGCGGUGAAAUGCGUAGAUAUAUGGAGGGACACCGGUGGCGAAAGCGGCUCUCUGGUCUGUAACUGACGCUGAGGCUCGAAAGCGUGGGGAGCGAACAGG
Molecule: ribosomal RNA, 773 nt
Filed under: uncultured Streptococcus sp.
Lineage: Bacteria; Bacillati; Bacillota; Bacilli; Lactobacillales; Streptococcaceae
Description: bacterial SSU rRNA
Rfam family: Bacterial small subunit ribosomal RNA
Source: RNAcentral